Long non-coding RNA from Hylaeus volcanicus, 1870 nucleotides. RefSeq lists it as uncharacterized. Lineage: Eukaryota; Metazoa; Arthropoda; Insecta; Hymenoptera; Colletidae. The transcript is spliced from 3 exons. The record is from RefSeq and is a predicted model, not a curated record.
UAGAGACGCGGUAGCGUUUCGACGCCAAGUUCAUGAAAAAUUAUAUAGCCACCCUGUAUAACGUGGCGCUACCGCUAUCUUUUACAGGAGAGAUGGUCCAUUUUAACCUAACUUAAAACUUCUUUCAUUAAUAUCUCAUCACGCCUGCAAUAUUUUCUAAAUUUAAACGCAUUUUUCUGAUGUAAAUCGCAUAUAAGCUUUCGAAUAAAACGAAAAUCAAUCAAAUCGGUACACGUACAACAGCGAUAUCGUAAUAUCGUGUCACGAUACAUCCAAAAAUAUUACUGUCUUAUACUUUUCCAGUCGAUUUUUCGUCAACACUUAGCCAAUAGGAGACAAGGCCGUUCGUCGAUUCGUCAACUCUCGGAAUCAGUCGGCAAGACUCGUCGACCGCCAUAAGAAAUACUUGUGUAUAUCGUUUGACAGAUAUAGGUUAGUAUCGUUUGAAAGAUAUAGGUUACAGUGAGGAAUAGCUGGAUGCAGAUUAUUAAGACAGAAGACAAAAAUUUCACCAGAUACCUGCAAGAAAUAAUGCACAAGAAACAGUAAUGUUGCCUUGCAAUACGUGUGUGCACGCAGGAAAACUAUAAUAGUAGUAUUAGAAGUGCGACAUAUUUUAUUAUAUUUCACAUCAAGAAGAGGAGCAUAUAACAUCAUCAAUAAAAGAUCUUUGAUUGAUAUGAACCAAAUAAUUUGAUGACGAAGCAACAGUAUUUUGGUGCUCUCCAAAAAUAGGAGCUGCCGCUGUGAAAUUCUAGUAUUUUAUCUGAGUGAAGGAUGUCUGGUAGUAAUUAUUAAAAUACCACAAGAAGAAUUGUGCAAGUAUUACAGGAAAUACGAUAAAGUUUGACAGCUAUAUUGAAAUUUGCCAGUUAAAAUAUACUACGAUCUGACAGAGUGUACAACGGAAGGAAUUAAAUAAUUGAACCAUAAGAUGAUGGUCUGUGUAUAUGUCGCAGGGAAAUGAUAAAAAUAGAGAUAUGAUCAAAUCCCUAAGGUAGAUGAUCAAUUCACGGGAGAUGUUAAAAUAACAACUCCGUAAGGUCAUUUACCUAAAGAAAGUAAGUGAUUUGAAUAAAUCCCUGUUUUAGCGAAAAGAUGAAAUAGUAUGACUUGAUCAAAUCCCUUAACUGUUUUAGUGUAAAGAUGAAAUAAUAUUGUUUAGAUAUUGAAAGUACUUAUUUAGUAAAUCAUGCAUUAUUAAAAGUAGAAUAGGAAAUACAACAAUACUCAUAGAAACAUAAAUUAUUUAUUCGAGACUAAUUAGCAAAAGAAAUAGGUACCUAAGCUGAUAUUUUAAAAAACAAAAAGAAUACUUUUAGGGAAUGUAAUUAAUAAAUAAUUUAUGUUUCUACGACUAUUGUUGUAUUACCUACUCUACACUUAAUAACGCAUGAUUUACUAAAUUAAUACUUUUAAUAUCUAAACAAUAUUAUUUCAUCUUUUCACUAAAACCGUCAAGGGAUUUGAUCAAAUCAUAUUAUUUCAUCUUUUCACUAAAACAGUUAAGGGAUGUGAUCAAAUCACUUACUUUCUUUAGGGAAAUGACCUUACGGAGUUGUUAUUUUAACAUCUCCCGUGAAUUGAUCAUCUACCUUAGGGAUUUGAUCAAAUCUCUAUUUUUAUCAUUUCCCUGCGACAUAUAUAAAUCACAAAACUAAACAAUUCAUUUUUUCAUAUUAUUUCAUAUGGAUUAUUCUAGAUUAUAGAUAUUAAAAAUAUUAUAAAUGUAUUAUCAGUAACAUUAAAAUUUCUUGGAACAAGACUUUCUAUCAUGUGUCGUGCGUACUUUUGAGGAUUUAAAGAACUAAAUCUGACCUCUCUUUUUCUAUAUUAUUGUAAUACAAUAAAUUAUGUGUUGCAAAUAGUG